UUCCGGUUGAUCCUGCCGGACCCUACUGCUAUCGGGGGAGGACUAAAACAUGCAAGUCGUGCGUCUCCAAGCUAUGAUGGAGACGCGGCGUACAGCUCAGUAACACGUGGCUAACCCACCCUUGAGACGGAGACAACCCCGGGAAACUGGGGCUAAUCCCCGAUAGGAGAAGACACCUGGAAGGGGUCUUUUCCCAAAAGGCGCUUAGAUCAUGCUUCUAGACGUCGCUCAAGGACGGGGCCGCGGCCGAUCAGGUUGUUGGUGUGGUAAUGGCUCACCAAGCCUAUAACCGGUACGGGCCGUGAGAGCGGGAGCCCGGAGAUGGGCACUGAGACAAGGGCCCAGGCCCUACGGGGCGCAGCAGUCGCGAAAACUCCGCAAUGCGCGAAAGCGUGACGGGGCUACCCCGAGUGCCGUCCGCUGAGGAUGGCUUUUCCCCGGUGUAAUGAGCCGGGGGAAUAAGGAGAGGGCAAGUCUGGUGUCAGCCGCCGCGGUAAUACCAGCUCUCCGAGUAGUAGGGACGAUUAUUGGGCUUAAAGCGUCCGUAGCCGGCUUAGCAAGUCUCCUGUUAAAUUCAGCGACCUAAUCGUUGAGCCGCGGGAGAUACUACUAGGCUAGGAGGCGGGAGAGGCCGACGGUAUUCCCGGGGUAGGGGUGAAAUCCUAUAAUCCCGGGAGGACCACCAGUGGCGAAGGCUGUCGGCUAGAACGCGCUCGACGGUGAGGGACGAAAGCUGGGGGAGCGAACCGGAUUAGAUACCCGGGUAGUCCCAGCUGUAAACGAUGCGGGCUAGGUGUUGAGGUGGCUACGAGCCACUUCAGUGCCGCAGGAAGCCAUUAAGCCUGCCGCCUGGGAAGUACGGCGCAAGGCUGAACUUAAAGGAAUUGGCGGGGAGCACACAAGGUGGUGAAGCUUGCGUUUAAUUGGAGUCAACGCCG
Molecule: ribosomal RNA, 938 nt
Filed under: uncultured archaeon
Lineage: Archaea
Description: bacterial SSU rRNA
Rfam family: Archaeal small subunit ribosomal RNA
Source: RNAcentral